GUGAGUGCAGGUAGACCUAGAGUCCUAGACAGAGGAGGUGAGUGCAGGUAGACCUAGACAGAGCAGGUGAGUGCAGGUAGACCUAGACAGAGCAAGUGAGUGCACGUAGACCUAGAGUCCUAGACAGAGGAGGUGAGUGCAGGUAGACCUAGAGUCCUAGACAGAGGAGGUGAGUGCAGGUAGACCUAGAGUCCUAGACAGAGGAGGUGAGUGCAGGUAGACCUAGAGUCCUAGACAGAGGAGGUGAGUGCAGGUAGACCUAGAGUCCUAGACAGAGGAGGUGAGUGCAGGUAGACCUAGACAGAGUAGGUGAGUGCAGGUAGACCUAGACAGAGUAGGUGAGUGCAGGUAGACCUAGAGUCCUAGACAGAGGAGGUGAGUGCAGGUAAACCUAGACAGAGCAGGUGAGUGCAGGUAGACCUAGAGUCCUAGACAGAGGAGGUGAGUGCAGGUAGACCUAGACAGAGCAGGUGAGUGCAGGUAGACCCAGAGUCCGAGACAAAGGUGGUGAGUGCAGGUAGACCUAGAGUCCUAGACAGAGCAGGUGAGUGCAGGUAGACCUAGAGUCCUAGACAGAGGAGGUGAGUGCAGGUAGACCUAGAGUCCUAGACA
Long non-coding RNA from Oncorhynchus keta (chum salmon), 612 nucleotides. RefSeq lists it as uncharacterized. The transcript has 3 exons. The record is from RefSeq and is a predicted model, not a curated record. Lineage: Eukaryota; Metazoa; Chordata; Actinopteri; Salmoniformes; Salmonidae.